UUAGGUAGAGGUGCGAUAGAGAUAAGUAUUCUAUACCAAGAACGAUAUCGGGUUCAAUAGUAAGUAUGGAAGAAAGGCAAUAUCGCCGAAAUGCUAAGGCUAUCGAUAAAGUUUUAGUGUUGGGUGCAAACUUAAUAGGUUUGUAACUGUCAUCAUGAGUAUGGUGGAGAGCUAUCGG
RNAcentral lists this non-coding RNA (178 nucleotides) under human gut metagenome. RNAcentral describes it as "Lysine riboswitch". It matches the Rfam family "Lysine riboswitch aptamer". From Rfam's summary of the family: Riboswitches are metabolite binding domains within certain messenger RNAs that serve as precision sensors for their corresponding targets. Allosteric rearrangement of mRNA structure is mediated by ligand binding, and this results in modulation of gene expression. This family includes riboswitches that sense lysine in a number of genes involved in lysine metabolism, including lysC. The record is from RNAcentral.